GCCGUCGUAGCUCAGGGGUAGAGCACGUCCUUGGUAAGGACGGGGUCGGAGGUUCGAUUCCUCUCGACGGCACCA
This 75-nucleotide transfer RNA is filed under the name Dongia rigui. RNAcentral describes it as "tRNA-Thr". It matches the Rfam family "tRNA". Rfam says of the family: Transfer RNA (tRNA) molecules are approximately 80 nucleotides in length. Their secondary structure includes four short double-helical elements and three loops (D, anti-codon, and T loops). RNAcentral also lists the same sequence under 2 other names. Lineage: Bacteria; Pseudomonadati; Pseudomonadota; Alphaproteobacteria; Rhodospirillales; Dongiaceae. The record is from RNAcentral.